This 727-nucleotide long non-coding RNA is filed under the name Calidris pugnax (ruff). Its description in RNAcentral is "lncRNA (ENSCPUG00000019364.1)". The record is from RNAcentral. Lineage: Eukaryota; Metazoa; Chordata; Aves; Charadriiformes; Scolopacidae.
GUCAGAUUAUUUUAAAGCACUUCGAAAUAUUGUCCCGUAACAGCUACUGCUCCUUUUGCAAGCCAAGUGACUGGGUGUGGGCAGCCCUGAAAAUAGAGCAUUCAUUUAUCCCCCAUCCCAUCCCAUCCCUGCUCCAGAACCCGCCGAGGUUUGCCUGGCUCCCUCUGCUCCCCUCCCCUCUGCUCCCUGCUGAUGGAUGUCGAUCCUGCUCUGGAAUGACACAGCUGGUGGCUUAAGGAGGCAUCACCAUCCCUGGAGAAGGAGGAGAAAUCACAGACUCCAAAAGAUGUCGGGACAGGGCUCUUGCACCUUGGUGACUGUGUCAACCAGAUUCAGUGGUGGGUACAAGCAGUGAGGACACCAGCUCCAGUCCCCGUCCCUCUGCUGUCCCCGGAACUGCUGUGGCAGGAUUCUCCAGGCUGGGUUAAAGACUCAGUGAAAUCUAUUUUGUAACAGACAGACGAGGAGCAACUUCCACAGAGACCUACUGCACCAACUCAUGAAGUCAGCAAGCCUGAAGGAAUCACAUCGCCUUGAAGCCACCGCAAGGACACGGAAAGUGGUUGAAAACAUAACUCAGCCUCCUCAGCGAGCACCUGGCUGUGCCCUCACCCAGAGGAGACUGUGGAAAGCCCACAGAAUGGAGAUACAGAGACGGACCCAAAGACAUAGUCAACGAGAAGCUGCUGAGGAACACGAGGGUCCCUGUACAUCCCCUGAGGACUGA